RNAcentral lists this ribosomal RNA (454 nucleotides) under Citrobacter freundii. RNAcentral describes it as "bacterial SSU rRNA". It matches the Rfam family "Bacterial small subunit ribosomal RNA", at positions 1 to 451 of the family's 1533-position model. The record is from RNAcentral. RNAcentral also lists the same sequence under 22 other names. Lineage: Bacteria; Pseudomonadati; Pseudomonadota; Gammaproteobacteria; Enterobacterales; Enterobacteriaceae.
AAAUUGAAGAGUUUGAUCAUGGCUCAGAUUGAACGCUGGCGGCAGGCCUAACACAUGCAAGUCGAACGGUAGCACAGAGGAGCUUGCUCCUUGGGUGACGAGUGGCGGACGGGUGAGUAAUGUCUGGGAAACUGCCCGAUGGAGGGGGAUAACUACUGGAAACGGUAGCUAAUACCGCAUAACGUCGCAAGACCAAAGAGGGGGACCUUCGGGCCUCUUGCCAUCGGAUGUGCCCAGAUGGGAUUAGCUAGUAGGUGGGGUAACGGCUCACCUAGGCGACGAUCCCUAGCUGGUCUGAGAGGAUGACCAGCCACACUGGAACUGAGACACGGUCCAGACUCCUACGGGAGGCAGCAGUGGGGAAUAUUGCACAAUGGGCGCAAGCCUGAUGCAGCCAUGCCGCGUGUAUGAAGAAGGCCUUCGGGUUGUAAAGUACUUUCAGCGAGGAGGAAGG